RNAcentral lists this ribosomal RNA (655 nucleotides) under Colletes sp. 3 NML-2007. Its description in RNAcentral is "eukaryotic LSU rRNA". It matches the Rfam family "Eukaryotic large subunit ribosomal RNA", at positions 420 to 810 of the family's 3401-position model. Lineage: Eukaryota; Metazoa; Arthropoda; Insecta; Hymenoptera; Colletidae. The record is from RNAcentral.
CCUGAGAAACCCAAAAGAUCGAAUGGGGAGAUUCAUCGUCGACGAAGCUGGCUCCCGUUGGUGUGCGAUUCCUCCGAUGGGACUCUGUUCCAAAACGCGGGUACACCCCUUCGGCGAAUAACCGGCGACGUAGACGUGCACUUCUCCCUUUGUAGAACGUCGCGACCCGUUGUGUGUCGGUCUACGGCCUGGGCUAAUUGCCUGUCGCGGGCACUUUAUUAUGCUCACGGCAGAGGCUCGGUCGCCCGGCCGGCUGCACGACGGUACUCCGACGGUAUCGGGCCGCAACCAAUCCAUUCUCGAAUGUAUUUGCGUCAGGCCCGCCGCAAGCUCGGACAGCACCCGGAGUGUGUGGACAUAGUGCCCUCCCCGGGUCUGGUCAGCUGUUUGCAGGCGGUGUCCUCGGACUGGCCAAGCUUUGAAUUACCGGUCAGCGACGCUAUUGCUUUGGGUACUCUCAGGACCCGUCUUGAAACACGGACCAAGGAGUCUAACAUGUGCGCGAGUCAUUGGGACAUUUAAACCUAAAGGCGAAAUGAAAGUGAAAGUCGUCGUAAGCGUCGACCAAGGGAGGAUGGGCCGCUUACGCCGCGGCCCCGCACUCCCGGGGCGUCUCGUUCUCGUUGAGAAGAGGCGCACCCAGAGCGUACACGUU